RNAcentral lists this long non-coding RNA (693 nucleotides) under Homo sapiens (human). Its description in RNAcentral is "non-protein coding lnc-CCDC39-4:5". Lineage: Eukaryota; Metazoa; Chordata; Mammalia; Primates; Hominidae. The record is from RNAcentral.
GUUCUGGGGUCGCCCCCACGGCGGCGCGGCGGAGCUCAGCCUCGAUCUCGCGAAACCGAGCGAGACUACGGAAGGCCGAAGGAUUGGGCUCAGCAUUGCUUGGGCUAAAGGCUGACUAGGGCUUCCAGGAAGUGAUGUAUGUGAGAAGUUUGCUUUUUAAAGUGUACGUGGGAUCGUUAUUACGUCGAAAUAGCUCGAGCUGUAACCUAGGGUAAAUAAUAAUUCCUUUUCGUAUUCAUCAAGGUGCUUCUAAGUGCCAGUGCCAGGAGUCUUGCUCUGUUGCCCAGGCUUGAGUGCAGUGGCACGAUCUUGGCUCACUGCAACCUCCACCUCCCGAGUUCAAGCGAUUCUCCUGCCUCACCCUCCUGAGUAGCUGGGACUACAGGCCUGCGCCACCACACCUGGCUAACUUCUGAAUAUCAAGCUGAAAUUACUAUCAGAUAUCUUGCCACCACAUAGAGGCUUUGAGUGAAGUCUGCAUGGAGGAGAACAGAGCUGAGAGAUGGAAAGAUACUGAAUCCCAGUGACGUCCUUUGAGAUGUCGGAUCAAGCUGAGCUGGGCAUGAAGAUAGAGCUACUCCUAUACUUUUAAGAUACGAUGAAGUACAGCUUGGCUGACCCAGUUCUUGGGAUGGGAGGAUUAAUGAACUCUCUAAACCAAACUUUUGGAGGAAAAGAACUUCAGAGGAGUUG